GGGAGGAGAGUGAGUAGGGGGAGGAGGAGACUUGAGGAGAUAAGGAGGAGGAGGUGAAGGAGAUGAUGGAGGGGGAGACUUGUAGACAUAUGGAGGUGGUGGUGACGGGGAAGGUGGAGGUGGGGACUUGUAGUGAUAUGGAGGUGGAGGUGAGGGUGAGGGUGGUGGUGGUGACUUAUAAAUGUAGGGUGGAGGAGGUGAUGGGGAAGGAGGAGGCGGGGACUUGUAGACGUAUGGAGGUGGUGGUGAUGGAGAUGGAGGAGGUGGAGGCUUCUAAAUGUAAGGAGGAAAAGGUGAUGGAGAUGGUGAUGGAGAUGGUGUUGGAGAUGGUGUUAGAGACGGUGAUGGAGAGGGUGAUGGAGAUGGUGUUGGAGAUGGUGAUGGAGAUGGUGGAGAUGGUGUUGGAGUUGGUGAUGGAGAUGGUGUUGGAGAUGGUGAUGGAGAUGGUGGAGAUGGUGUUGGAGAUGGUGAUGGAGAUGGUGUUGGAGAUGGUGAUGGAGAUGGUGGUGGUGGUGACUUGUAAGGAGGUGGAGGUGAGGGUGAGGGUGGCGGGGGAGACUUGUAGUGAUACGGAGGAUGUAUCACAUGCUUGGGUGGUGGCGGAGGUGGUGACUUGGGAUGUGGCCAAUAUGGUGAUGACUUGGGCGGUGGUGGAGGUGGUGACUUAGGCGGUGGUGGAGGUGGUGAAAACUUGGGCAGUGGCCAAGGUAGUGGCCAAUAUGGUGAUGACUUGGGCGGUGGUGGAG
RNAcentral lists this long non-coding RNA (746 nucleotides) under Fragaria vesca (wild strawberry). Its description in RNAcentral is "long non-coding RNA (FVES_LNC002575)". Lineage: Eukaryota; Viridiplantae; Streptophyta; Magnoliopsida; Rosales; Rosaceae. The record is from RNAcentral.